Oreochromis aureus is the source of this 904-nucleotide long non-coding RNA. RefSeq lists it as uncharacterized. The transcript has 3 exons. NCBI's taxonomy places the organism in Eukaryota, Metazoa, Chordata, Actinopteri, Cichliformes, Cichlidae. The record is from RefSeq and is a predicted model, not a curated record.
AUUAAACAAUGCUCAGGACAGCAAGGACACUCAUGCCUUAUCUCACAGGAGGACAGGAAUCUAAAACAUUCACAGACUCCAGGAUACCUUCCCAAUGCUACAUUGGGAUACUUACAGUACAUGCUGAGGGGAAGUAUCCAAGGGGCCACUAUGUUAACUCUAAUGUGUGUUGCAGAUAAACCGGCUUUCCCAGAUGCAGCAGGCAAUACUGCUAUGACUGUCUUUACAAAUAAAUUCCCCCAACUUUUGCUACGUGAUGCUGAACUGAUUCCACAUGGAGAACACACAAACUCUCCAGAGAAAGUGUCCCCACCAAACCAAAAGGAAGUGGUGCUGAGCAGCCAGCCAUCUGUCGGCAGAUUAAUCCUGGCUGUGCUUAGAGAUAUUACCGGCUGGCUUAUCGCCGUGGCAACAAGCCUUCAAUCCCAGUCCAGCACAGCCACCAUGUGACCUUGCUGAGGAAGGUGGAUGGGGGUUGGUCACACAUGCACACACAAAUAGGCUCUCUCACACACACACACACAGAAACAUGCUACAUACGUGCAGGCAUUGUAUUUUUUGGAUGCACUCUGUUGCAUGUAGUGUGAAAAAAGCACCGCACAAACGCACACAUACACGCACCCUGUCCUUUCAUCAUAAAAUCAGGUUUUAAUCCUGCUGUCACCUAUUGAGUUCAGAAAUAUCAUUACACCAGCCAGCUGUGCUGCACGCAGCUCUUUUCAAAUAUUGUUUUCUGUCUGCUAUAAAUAGACCUGUAUAAAUAUGAAUUGUGGCCACCUUUGUUCAGUUUCCUUCACACCACAGAAAGCUUCCCCCCCUAAAUCUCUUCAUUCCCACGUGGUCACAUAUCCACCCACUCACGUUUUCUAUACACACACACCACAUCGUUCAGAAAACGACCUGA